GCUUACGACCAUCUCACCCUGAAUGCGCCCGAUCUCGUCUGAUCUCCGAAGCUAAGCAGAGUCGAGCCUGGUUAAUACUUGGAUGGGAGACUGCCUGGGAAUACCACGUGUUGUAGGCU
Molecule: ribosomal RNA, 119 nt
Filed under: Petromyzon marinus (sea lamprey)
Lineage: Eukaryota; Metazoa; Chordata; Hyperoartia; Petromyzontiformes; Petromyzontidae
Source: RNAcentral